GUUAAUGUAGCUUAAACUUAAAGCAAGGCACUGAAAAUGCCUAGAUGAGUGUACCGACUCCAUAAACA
Transfer RNA from Ovis aries (sheep), 68 nucleotides. It matches the Rfam family "tRNA". Rfam says of the family: Transfer RNA (tRNA) molecules are approximately 80 nucleotides in length. Their secondary structure includes four short double-helical elements and three loops (D, anti-codon, and T loops). NCBI's taxonomy places the organism in Eukaryota, Metazoa, Chordata, Mammalia, Artiodactyla, Bovidae. The record is from Rfam.